AUUUAUCUGAAGAAUCCAAAAACAGGAUGAAAUGCGCGUUACUGAU
This 46-nucleotide non-coding RNA is filed under the name Schistosoma margrebowiei. The record is from RNAcentral. Lineage: Eukaryota; Metazoa; Platyhelminthes; Trematoda; Strigeidida; Schistosomatidae.